GAUUUCUGGCUUGAAACAUUUUGCCGGCCACGGUUUCGUGUGUUAGUGCUGGAUGCUCUGUCCAUCCUUCCAAUCGCUAUUGGCUAUUCUUCAUUGAAUGGUCCGUAGUAUUGGAUCUUUUACUUUGAAAAAAUUAGAGUGUUUCAAGCAGGCUUUAUGCUAUGAAUACAUUAGCAUGGAAUAAUAAUUUAGGACUUCGGCCCUAUUUUGUUGGUUUCUAGGACUGAAGUAAUGAUUGAUAGGGAUAGUUGGGGGUGCUAGUAUUCAGCGGCCAGAGGUGAAAUUCUUGGAUUCGCUGAAGACUAACUUAUGCGAAAGCAUU
Molecule: ribosomal RNA, 322 nt
Filed under: Sandona sp.
Lineage: Eukaryota; Cercozoa; Glissomonadida; Sandonidae
Description: SSU rRNA
Rfam family: Eukaryotic small subunit ribosomal RNA
Source: RNAcentral